RNAcentral lists this long non-coding RNA (2121 nucleotides) under Sus scrofa (pig). RNAcentral's name for it is "lncRNA (ENSSSCG00040007107.1)". Lineage: Eukaryota; Metazoa; Chordata; Mammalia; Artiodactyla; Suidae. The record is from RNAcentral.
GGCUUUGAUUAUGUUCAGGAAUGUUCCCUCUAUACCCACUUUGGCAAGAGUUUUUUUAUCACAAAUGGAUGUUUGACUUUGUCAAAUGCUUUUUCUGCAUCUAUUGAGAUGAUCAUAUGGUUUUUGACUUUUCUUUUGUUAAUGUGGUGUAUGACGUUGAUUGAUUUGCACAUGUUGAACCAUCCUUGUGAACCUGAGAUGAACCCCACCUGGUUGUGGUGUAUGAACUUUUUGAUAAGUUGUUGGAUUUAUUUGGCUAAGAUUUUGUUGAGAAUUUUUGCCUCUAUAUUCAUCAAAGAUAUUGGCUAAUAGUUUUCUUUUUUGGUGGUAUCUUUGUCUGGUUUUGGAAUGAGGGUGAUGGUGGCAUCAUAGAAUGUCUUUGGGAGUGUUCCGUCUUUCUCAGCGUUUCCAGAAAUCUAAGGGGGAUGGGCACCAGAUCCUCUUUGUUUGGUGGAAUUCACCUGUGAAGCUAUCUGGUCCUGGGCUUUGUAGGGAGUGUUUUUAUGAUGUAUUCAAUUUCAUUUCUAGUGAUCGGUCUGUUCAGUUGAUCUAUUUCUUCUUGGUUCAGUUUUGGCAGGCUGUAAGAUUCUAGAAAGUUGUCCAUUUCUUCCAGAUUGUCAAAUUUGUUGGCAUAUGGUUGUUCAUAGUAUUCUCUUAUGGUUUUUUUUUUAUUUCUGCAGUAUCCAUUGUGAUUUCUCCUUUUUCAUUUCUAAUUUUGUUUACUUGGGUUCUUUCCUCUUUUUAGUGAGUCUAGCCAGGGGUUUAUCAAUUUUGUUUACCUUUUCAAAGAACCAUCUCUUGGAUUUAUUAAUUUUCUCUAUUGUUUUUUGAAUCUCUAUUUUAUUGAUUUCCUCUUUGAUCUUUAUAAUUUCCUUCCUUCUGCUGCCUUUAGGUCUUUUUUGUUCUUCUUUUUCUUAAUCAUUUAGGUGUUGGGUUAAGUUGUCAAUUUGAGAUCUUUCUUCUUUUUUGAGGAAGGCCUGUAUUGCUAUGAAUUUCCCUCUAGCACUGCUUUCGUGGUGUCCCAUAGAUUUUGAGAGGUUGUGUCUUCAUUAUCAUUUGUCUCAAGGUAUUUUUUAAUUUCCUUCUUGAUUUCUUCAUUGAGCCAUUGUUUUUUUAGUAGCAUGUUGUUUAGUCUCCAUGUAGUAGGUUUUUUCUCAUUUCUUUUCCUUUGGUUGAUUUCUAGUUUCACACCAUUCUGGUCAGAGAAGAUACUUCCAAUAAUUUCUAUGCUCCUAAAGUUGUUGAGGUUAGCUUUGUGCCCCAAUAUGUGGUCAAUUCUUGAGAAUGUUCCAUGUGCUCUUGAGAAGAAUGUGUAUUCUGAUUUUUUUUGGAUGUAGUGUCCUGAAGAUGUCAAUUAAGUCUAACUUUUCUAUUGUUUCUUUUAGGAUCUCUAUUGCUUUAUUGGUUUUCUGUCUAGAGGAUCUGUCCAUUGAUGUGAGUGGGGUUUUAAAGUCUCCUACUAUGAUUGUAUUUCCAUCAAUUUCUCCCUUUAUUUCUGUUAAUAUUUGUUGUAUGUAUCUGGGUGCUCCUAUAUUUGGGGCAUACAUGUUGACGAUAGUAAUAUCUUCUUGAAUGGAUCCCUUAAUCAUUAAAUAGUGUCCUUCUUUGUCUUUCUUUAUGUCUUUUGUUUUAAAGUCUAUUUUGUGUGAUAUGAGUAUUGCAACUCCUGCCUUCCUGUCAUGUCCAUUGGCAUGAAAUAUUUUUCCCCGCCCCUCACUUUCAAUCUAUAUGUGUCUUUUGUCCUAAGGUGAGUUUCCUGUAGGCAGCAGAUUGAAGGUUUUUGCUUUUUUAUCCAAUCUUCCACUCUGUGUCUUUUGAUUGGAGCAUUCAGUCCAUUGACAUUUAAGGUGGUAAUUGAUAGAUGAUUAUUUAUUGCCAUUUUAAACCUAGUUUUCCAGUUGAAUCUAUGAUUCUCCAUUCUUUCUUUUUUUUGAUUGGAUGGUGUCCAAUUAUUAUCUGCUUGAGUGUUUUUCUUUUCAUUUUUUGUGAAUGUAAUGUUUGAUUUUGAUUUGUGGUUGCCCUGUUUUUAAAGUAUGUUAACCCUUUCCUAUAAUUGUGUGUUUUAGUCUGAUAGUCCUGUAGGUUCAAACACUUCAUUACCAUACUAAAAUUAAAAAAAAA